UGAAGCGGCAACAGCUCAAAUUUGAAAUCUGGCCCUUGGGUCCGAAUUGUAAUUUGUAGAGGAUGCUUUUGGUUAGGUACCUUCCGAGUUCCCUGGAACGGGACGCCUUAGAGGGUGAGAGCCCCGUACGGUUGGAUACCGAGCCUCUGUAAAGCUCCUUCGACGAGUCGAGUAGUUUGGGAAUGCUGCUCUAAAUGGGAGGUAAAUUUCUUCUAAAGCUAAAUACUGGCCAGAGACCGAUAGCGCACAAGUAGAGUGAUCGAAAGAUGAAAAGUACUUUGAAAAGAGGGUUAAACAGCACGUGAAAUUGUUGAAAGGGAAGCGUUUAUGACCAGACUUUUUCUAGGCGGAUCAUCCGGUGUUCUCACCGGUGCACUUUGUCUAGUUUAGGCCAGCAUCGGUUUCUAUAGGGGGAUAAAAUUAGCAGGAAAUGUGGCUCUYUCGGGAGUGUUAUAGCCUGUUAAAUAAUACCUCUACAGGGACCGAGGUUCGCGCUCUGCAAGGAUGCUGGCGUAAUGGUCAUCAACGACCYGUCUUGAAACACGGACCAAGSAGUCGAACAUUUGUGCGAGUGUUUGGGUGUUAAACCCUCACGCGUAAUGAAAGUGAACGGAGGUGAGAGCCCUUAUGGGUGCAUCAUCGACCGAUCCUGAAGUUUACGGAUGGAUUUGAGUAAGAGCAUAACUGUUCGGACCCGAAAGAUGGUGAACUAUGCGUGGAUAGGGUGAAGCCAGAGGAAACUCUGGUGGAGGCUCGCAGCGGUUCUGACGUGCAAAUCGAUCGUCAAAUCUGCGCAUGGGGGCGAAAGACUAAUCGAACCAUUAAAACCAGCGGUAAAUUUGAUUUACUAGGUGGUUAAGAGGAGUCUCGAGAGAGAUUCAUACCUAGGUUGGGCGGACCUACCCGGAACGACCUACCCUGUAGCGAGUUACCCGGAACGACCUACCCCGUAGCGAGUUACCCGGAACGACCUACCCCGUAGCGAGUUACCCGGAACGACCUACCCCGUAGCGAGUUACCCGGAACGACCUACCCGGAACGGCCUACCCUGUACCGACAUCACUAAAUUGCGGGGACGUCCUUUUAAGCUUUAGGCUACCGUAGGGCACUGAAAAGUGUUUCUACACCAAGAUUAGCGGUCUUGGGUAUGGUAAAAACGCCUGAAAGUUGGGAUCACCUGCAGCCAACCCCGUCCAGGGGAGAGUUCACAGACUAAACAGUGGUGGGUCAGCACUCGUGCUGGCUUAAGAUAUAGUCGACCGAGGCCCUGAAAAGGUGCCUGCAGCUAAAACACAGCGAGCAAGGUUC
Molecule: ribosomal RNA, 1308 nt
Filed under: Lepteutypa qujingensis
Lineage: Eukaryota; Fungi; Ascomycota; Sordariomycetes; Amphisphaeriales; Amphisphaeriaceae
Description: Lepteutypa sp. LSD-2019b partial large subunit ribosomal RNA
Source: RNAcentral